Molecule: long non-coding RNA, 296 nt
Filed under: Ananas comosus (pineapple)
Lineage: Eukaryota; Viridiplantae; Streptophyta; Magnoliopsida; Poales; Bromeliaceae
Description: long non-coding RNA (ACOM_LNC029861)
Source: RNAcentral
AAAAUACAAUUCGUUCUGAACUCAUCCUGAUCCAUCAAUUAUAUGAAGCGGAAGGUGGGAGACUCUUUUCUUUUUUAAAUCCGUCCCGAUUUGUAAAAAAAUUGUCAAAAAUUCGCUCUCGUCCCGAUCAGUCCCAAAUGAAGCGGUAAGCAAGAGCUAAAAAUAUAAUAAUAAAUAAUUCGCUCCGAAUCCGUCCUGUCCCAACAAAAAAUAAAGCGAGAGGUGGGAGAACCCUCUAGUCCCUGGAUCCGUUCCAUUUGCAUCCCUAAUCACCAUGCGCUUGGUAUACUUUUUAU